This 434-nucleotide ribosomal RNA is filed under the name uncultured Chlamydiae bacterium. Its description in RNAcentral is "bacterial SSU rRNA". It matches the Rfam family "Bacterial small subunit ribosomal RNA", at positions 958 to 1392 of the family's 1533-position model. The record is from RNAcentral. Lineage: Bacteria; Pseudomonadati; Chlamydiota; Chlamydiia.
AACGCGAAGAACCUUACCCAGACUCGACAUACAGUGGAAGUUAGCAGAAAUGUUAACGCCCUUCGGGGCCGCUGAACAGGUGUUGCAUGGCUGUCGUCAGCUCGUGCCGUGAGGUGUUGGGUUAAGUCCCGCAACGAGCGCAACCCUUAUCGUUAGUUGCCAACAGGUAAUGCUGGGAACUCUAGCGAGACUGCCUGGGUUAACCAGGAGGAAGGUGAGGAUGACGUCAAGCCCGCAUGGCCCUUAUGUCUGGGGCUACACACGUGCUACAAUGGUCGGUACAAAAGGCAGCGAAACCGCGAGGUGAAGCAAAUCCCAAAAGCCGGCCUCAGUUCAGAUUGUAGUCUGCAACUCGACUACAUGAAGACGGAAUUGCUAGUAAUGGCAGGUCAGCAACACUGCCGUGAAUACGUUCCCGGGUCUUGUACACACCG